RNAcentral lists this ribosomal RNA (583 nucleotides) under uncultured archaeon. RNAcentral's name for it is "bacterial SSU rRNA". It matches the Rfam family "Archaeal small subunit ribosomal RNA", at positions 89 to 656 of the family's 1478-position model. The record is from RNAcentral.
CUCAGUCCCUUUAGUCAACCUGCCCUGGAGACAUGGAAAACCCCGGGAACCUGGGAUUAAUCCGUGAUAGGUCAUCUCAUCUGGAAGGAGAGAUGGCUUAAAGGGGUGCGAGAGUUUCUUUCUUGUAUCCGCUCCAGGAUGGGACUGCGGCCGAUCAGGCUGUUGGUGGGGUAAUGGCCCACCAAACCUGUAACCGGUACGGGCCUUGAGAGAGGGGGCCCGGAGAUGGACACUGAGAGAAGGGUCCAGGUCCUACGGGGCGCAGCAGGCGCGAAACCUUCGCAAUGCGCGAAAGCGUGACGAGGUUAAUCCGAGUGGUCCCCGCUGAGGGGAUCUUUUGUCGGCUGUAAAAAGGCCGGUGAAUAAGGGGAGGGCAAGUCUGGUGUCAGCCGCCGCGGUAAUACCAGCUCCUCGAGUGGUCGGGGCGAUUAUUGGGCCUAAAGCAUCCGUAGCCUGUUCUGUAGGUCCUCUGUCAAAUCCAACGGCUUAACCGUUGGCCCGCAGAGGAUACCGCAGGACUAGGAGGCGGGAGAGGUGGACGGUACUCCACGUGUAGGGGUAAAAUCCUUUGAUCCGUGGAAGA